CGGCAGCACAGAAAGGACAAACGAGGAACAGACAUGUUUGCGUUUCUGAGAAGGUGAUGGUGGUUGUUGUUGUUGUUGUUGUUGUUGUUGUUGUUGUUGUUGUGGUUGUUGUUGUUGUUGUUGUUGUUGUUGUGGUUGUUGUUGUUGUUGUUGUUGUUGUUGUGGUUGUUGUUGUUGUGGUUGUUGUUGUUGUUGUUGUUGUGGUUGUUGUUGUUGUUGUGGUUGUUGUUGUUGUUGUGGUUGUUGUUGUUGUUGUUGUUGUUGUUGUUGUUGUUGUUGUUGUUGUUGUUGUUGUUGUUGUUCUGAAGGAUGAUUCUGAUAUUAAAGACCUGAACUAUGUGGGCUCAUACUCCUCCUGGAGGGGCUAAGAACUCUUUUUGACUCUUUGGAGCUCUCGAGGAACCCUGUUAGAACCUGGUUUGUAGUCUUUGAGAGCUUUGUUAGACCUUCUUUAGGGCUCUGUCAGAACUCUAGAACUCUUCAAGAACCCCAAGUGAGUCCAGUUGUUAGAACUAUUAUAAAAGUCUGUCUGAGCUCUGUUUUAAAGCUCGGUUAGGUCUGUGUCUGAGGGUUUAGUGAUAACUGUUGAACUCUGAGAACCUCAUCAGAAGUCUGCUGGAACACUUGGAGACCUUGGGAGGUGUGGUCUACAUGGGUUUGGGGAACUCUUUCAGAAAUCUUCUGAUCUGUUUUAGAGCUCUGAGGUUUUGUGGUCCUUCCACUGAGAUCUCUCGCUCACACAGUCUGAGACGGUUUUAACAGGACAGGUGAGUCUUCCUACCUGGACCUAGAUCUUCAGACCUGACUGUGUAGAUGCUGCACACACAUGAAGAGACAAACAGACACCAGAUGGAUCUGUAGUGGGAACACACGGAUACUGGUCUGUGGUUCAACAGUCGAAUGAUUGAAAUGAGGAGUCCAGCCCACACACACACACACACACACACACACACACACACACACACACACACACACACACACACACACACACACACACACACUGUGGAUUGUGUGGUGGUACACUGACGCUCUCGUCCCCUCACUCUCACUCUCACAAAGGCCCCUCUCUCUCUCUCUCUCUCUCUCUCCCUCUCUCUCUCUCUCUCUGUCUCUCGCUCUCUUUCUCUCCCCCCCUCUCUCCCUCUCUCUCAUGUGGACCUACAUACCACCGCCCUGAUGUCAGUUUGUUCUCCCUCAGCUGAAGGACACUCCUCGUUUGUUCUCAGAGUCUCUGUAGACACUGUUGUGGUCUGAUCUUCGAGGUUCGACCAUGAGAAAGUAUUUCCUCAUAUUAGUCAAUGAUUCGUCCUCAUCACCGGCUUCAGUGAUCAGGAGUGUCAACAGAUAAUCAAUGAUUAUUUAGUAAUAGAUUUGUGGAGCCCAAACUUCUGAUGACCUUCUCUGUGGUGACCUCCUGACACCAUCUCCUCUAAAACCGUCUCAGUGUUCGGUUCUUCGUCUUUACACAGCUUUGACUUUCUCCUCAGAGUUGAACUUCUGUGUUUUAUUUUAUACUUUAAUUCUUCAAACUCAGUCUUUAUCGAGUGUAUACUGACGCUCUGCUGUAAACCGCGCUCAUGUUCGUCAGCGUCUCCACGCUCAAACGUCCUUCUGAAGACUUUGAGAUGUUUUCACAGACUGACUGUCCCGAGGUUUCUAUCUCUCAGACUGAAGGUCUCCUAACAAACUGAUGUUUACGGGACAGUGAGCUCGCUCGGAUUAGAUUAUGAGGAAAACAAACAAACAGGAGGUCAAAGUUCAGCUGUAAAUGAACGUGUUGAAUCACUCUGAGGUGAACGUCUGCACAGGUGAACGUAUGCACAGGUGUGUUUGUAACUGCAGGUAUUUGAGUCUUCAUGGUCAUGACCCAUCAGCUGAUACGUGAGGUCAUCCUCAGUUAACAGAUGAGGUCAUAACAGUGACGGCGGCGUUGGUAUCAGCUGCAGCACUCACAGUCCUGACUGAUGAAGAUGAAGAAGAAGAAGGUCAAACACGGACCGCAGAUAAGUGAUGGUGUGUUUUUGAGCUUCACUGUGUUCAUGUCUCCAACACGAUAAGACAACGAGGACAUCAGAGUCUCAAAGACGGUCUCAUCACAUCUGAAUCUGAGACAAACAGAAAAAAACGUCUGAUGGAUGUUUGAGUUUCCUGUUUGACACUGAAGAAGACAAACGCCGAGCUGAUCGUUGUCGGGUAAAAGAGCUCUUUGUUUUGUUUGUUUCUUUAUUUUUUAAUUUUCUUUAUUUUCUUUAUUUUUUUUAUUUUCUUUAUUUAAUUUUUCUUUAUUUUUGAAUUUUCUUUGUUUUUUAUUUUUUAAUUUUCUUUAUUUUCUUAAUUUUUUUAUUUUUUAAUUUUCUUUAUUUUUUUUAUUUUCUUUGUUUAUUUUCUCUUUUUUCUUUAUUUUCUUUAUUUAAUUUUUUCUUUAUUUUUGAAUUUUCUUUUUAUUUUCUUUAUCUUUAUUUUUUUAUUUUUUAUUUUCUUUAUUUAUUUUUUCUUUAUUUUUGAAUUUUCUUCAAGUUUUAAUUUUCUUUAUUUUCUUAAUUUUUUUAUUUUCUUUAUUUUCUUUAUUUCCUUUAUUUUCUUUAUUUCCUUUAUUUUCUUUAUUUUUUUAUUUUCUUUAUUUUUUAUUUUCUUUAUUUUUUUUUUUUCUUUAUUUUUUUUUUCUUUAUUUUUGAAUUUUCUUUAAGUUUUAAUUUUCUUUGUUUCCUUUGUUUUCUUUUUUUCUUUAUUUUCUUUGUUUCUUUAUUUUCUUAAUUUUCUUAUUUUCUUUAUUUUCUUUCUCAGUGUUUCUGAGUUUGUGAAGCUUCAGUCUCCAGGACACAGAGAGGCCAACAGAGGCGGAGUCAGCACACACAGCGCCCCCUAAACCACAGAAACAGAACUGCAGCUGACAGGCUGUGAGUCUCCAAAUCCUGGUCCAAGUCCUCCUGUAAGAGGAUCAGAACUUCUAUAUUUACAUUCACCACAGCGAGGAACUAAGCAGAUUAGUGAGCAGAGAUACGGGGAAGGAACACCAGGACCAGAACAGGGACUCCCAAACACCUGAGAGACCCUCAGACCCUGUUAUCAGGACUCAGACCACAGCAGACCGAGACAGGGUCAGGUCUCCUUCAGGACCCAGAAUCUCAGAUCUAAUCUCAGCGUUUUAAAGAAGAACUGGAAUAAAAUGAAGGAAAAACCUUCAGGAGAGACACCAACAGUUUCAAUCAUUUCCUGAUUAAUUUUGAUCGUUACGUCUGAAUCAUUAAAGUUUUUUAUUAUCAUUUAAAGAAGGUUGAAAUGUUUGAAAGUCUAAAAAGAAAAAAGGAAAUUAACACGUUUAACACCAGGAAGUAGGUCUAAGAGGGUCAAAAUAUAAGUGUAAUAUUAUAUAUAUUUAUAUAUACUGUAUAAAUAACAGAGCACUUCAUAUAAAUCAACAGUUUGUCUGUUUGUGUCCCUGUCCCCCCCCCAUGUCUCUACUUUUUAGACAUCAGUGAUAGACAACAAAGACAAUAUGUGUAUGUGUGUGUGUGUGUGCAUGUGUGUGUGUGUGUGUGUGUGUGUGUGAUAGGAAACCUUUGAGGUCCUGGAUGAAUUGUUGGUCUUCCUGGAGCCAGAGCUGCAGGAUGGGAGGGGAACAGGAAGUGAAUCACCACAGGAUCGUUCUGAACCAGGAAACAGGCGGCGUGUUGCUGCGGCGCUGAUCCCCGAGGGUCUAAAGAUGGAGAGGAAGAGUUUCAGAGAAGGUGUGACAGGAGCGUCUGUGAGGGACGAAGACGUGAGGACUGAGAGACAUUCAUCAAACCAGGAGACCAACAACAGACCAGGAGGUGAAGAUGGAGACAGUCACUGCAGGGAAAGGUCAGUCAGUGACCACGGCGCCGACCCGCCUCAACCGUCCAGAUUUACAGAACCAGGAACAUGAACCGUCCUGCAGUCCCAGUUCAGCUGCAGGAACGACACGGGAACAGAAUCAGAGAGCGAACUCGAGAUGAUGAGAGACACCGAGGAUUCACGUCCUUCACUGCUGCUGCCGUUACCAUGGAAACACACAAACAACAACACCGAGAAAAGACGUUUUAAUCCAGAUUUUCAUCUGAAAACACAGAAACACAAGUGUUUAAUAAACGUUUGAGUUCUGACCUGCUGAUCAGUGUCACUCACCUGUCACGGUCUCCUCUGAUUGGUUCAUGAGGUGCUGAAAAGUUUCUAAUUUUAAAGAUCAAUCAUGUUUUCACCGUUCAUCCUCGUCUCUGUUUGGUUUUAUUACAAGUCGAUCCUCUGACUUCUAAACUGUAUGACCGUGACAUGAACACAGAAGCUCUCACACCAG
This is a non-coding RNA of Xyrichtys novacula (pearly razorfish), 4315 nucleotides long. The record is from the annotation of a GenBank genome assembly. Lineage: Eukaryota; Metazoa; Chordata; Actinopteri; Labriformes; Labridae.